GUCUUUUUGAGUUAUUUUUAAAGUCUGACCUGCCCACUGAGUAAAUUUUAAAUGGCCGCAGUAUUUUAACUGUGCAAAGGUAGCAUAAUCAUUAGUCUUUUAAUUGAAGGCUGGUAUGAACGGUUGGACGAAGUAUAAGCUGUUUCAUAUAAAAUUAUAUUUGAAUUUUAUUUUUUAGUAAAAAAGCUAAAAUUUUAUUAAAAGACGAGAAGACCCUAUAAAUCUUUAUAUUUUAUUUUAUAUAAGUUUUUUUGAUUGAUUUUAUUUUUAUAUUUUUAAAUAUUUUAUUGGGGUGAUAUUAAAAUUUAAGAAACUUUUAAUUAAUAAUAAAUCAUUAAUUUAUGAGUUAUUGAUCCAUUAUUAGUGAUUAAAAAAUUAAGUUACUUUAGGGAUAACAGCGUAAUUUUUUUUGAGAGUUCAUAUCGAUAAAAAAGUUUGCGACCUCGAUGUUGGAUUAAGAUAUAUUUUUAGGUGUAGCUGCUUAAAUGUGAAGUCUGUUCGACUUUUAAAUUCUU
RNAcentral lists this ribosomal RNA (515 nucleotides) under Ceratitis bremii. RNAcentral's name for it is "partial 16S ribosomal RNA". The stretch from base 391 to 515 matches the Rfam family "Bacterial large subunit ribosomal RNA", at positions 2473 to 2597 of the family's 2925-position model. Lineage: Eukaryota; Metazoa; Arthropoda; Insecta; Diptera; Tephritidae. The record is from RNAcentral.